GAUGAACGCUGGCGGCGUGCCUAAUACAUGCAAGUCGAGCGAACAGACGAGGAGCUUGCUCCUUUGACGUUAGCGGCGGACGGGUGAGUAACACGUGGGUAACCUACCUAUAAGACUGGGAUAACUUCGGGAAACCGGAGCUAAUACCGGAUAAUAUUUCGAACCGCAUGGUUCGAUAGUGAAAGAUGGAUCUGCUAUCACUUAUAGAUGGACCUGCGCCGUAUUAGCUAGUUGGUAAGGUAACGGCUUACCAAGGCAACGAUACGUAGCCGACCUGAGAGGGUGAACGGCAACAUCGGGACUGAGACACGGCCCAAACUCCUACGGGAGGCAGCAGUAGGGAAUUUUCCACAAUGGGGGCAACCCUGAGGGAGCAAUGCCGCGUGAGAGAAGAAGGCCUUCGGGUUGUAAAUCUCUGUUAUAAGUGAAGAAAAGUACAAGUAGGAAAUGGCUUGUAUCUGACAUUAGCUUAUCAGAAAGCCACGGCUAACUACGUGCCAGCCGCCGCUGUAA
RNAcentral lists this ribosomal RNA (513 nucleotides) under uncultured bacterium. RNAcentral's name for it is "partial 16S ribosomal RNA". It matches the Rfam family "Bacterial small subunit ribosomal RNA", at positions 28 to 523 of the family's 1533-position model. The record is from RNAcentral.